RNAcentral lists this small RNA (446 nucleotides) under Pan troglodytes (chimpanzee). RNAcentral's name for it is "retained intron". Lineage: Eukaryota; Metazoa; Chordata; Mammalia; Primates; Hominidae. The record is from RNAcentral.
GGCUGGGGCUCUGGUGUCCUGGCUCAGGCUUGUCUCUGUGUGUAGCUGAGUACCAGUCAUUGUGCCCUCACGGCCGGGGCUACCUGGCGCCCAGUGGAGACCUGAGCCUCCGGAGAGACGUGGACGAAUGUCAGCUCUUCCGAGACCAGGUGUGCAAGAGUGGCGUGUGCGUGAACACGGCCCCGGGCUACUCAUGCUAUUGCAGCAACGGCUACUACUACCACACACAGCGGCUGGAGUGCAUCGGUACAAGCCCCACCUCCCCCAACCCCCGGCAACUCUCUCCAACCCCUAGCCUUGCCAGCUCCCCUCUGGAAUGUGGCCACCACCAGCGGGAAGUCUUUCCUGGAGUCUAGACUCCAUCCAUCACACUGCCAAUGUGCUGGGAAGAGAAAUGGGAAAGGGUGAGGAGAGUUGAAGGGGAUGCCUCUUAAUCAUCCUCUCCC